CACAAAGAAGACUUUGUUCUGAAUUCUGAGUAUCUUAUCACGCUGCUCGUCGUGGUGCCAAAGUCAAGCUACCUACAGUGGCAGAAGACCUAUGAAUCACUCUCAGAUAUGGUAGUACCUCGCUCCACCAAAAUGAUUGCUGAGGAUGCAGAGGGAGGACUCUUCACUGUGACCCUGUUUAGAAAAGUGAUGGAUGACUUUAAGGCUAAAGCCAGGGAGAACAGGUAAGAGGCCCUGACUGCUGGGCAGGACAAGCUAGCAAGAGAUGAGGAUCACGUGAGGCUUGUUGUGUGUGCAGCUUGCUGAAUCCAUCACUUGUUGACUGCUUGGGUUGCUCUUGGUACUAAGGCCACUGAAAGGGCAGGUUGGGAAGGAGCUGUGGUAGCAAAAGCAGUGAUCCUGUUCUUGAAGCUCCAAGUUACAGAUCCUGGAAUUGCCCUUUUGGCUCUCAUUCUGCUGACAGCAGAAAGCUGUCUUUCUAGGGGUAAUUUCAACUCCCACCCCGCACAUACUUAAACUUGUUAAAUGGCUAGCAACUUCCCAUACCUGC
This is a non-coding RNA of Cyanistes caeruleus (blue tit), 550 nucleotides long. NCBI's taxonomy places the organism in Eukaryota, Metazoa, Chordata, Aves, Passeriformes, Paridae. The record is from RefSeq and is a predicted model, not a curated record.